This 3613-nucleotide unclassified non-coding RNA is filed under the name Hevea brasiliensis (rubber tree). The record is from RNAcentral. Lineage: Eukaryota; Viridiplantae; Streptophyta; Magnoliopsida; Malpighiales; Euphorbiaceae.
CAAAAAAAUGAAAUCCAACCACGCGGCCCUUGGACAAGGUUGGCCCGGUUUGAUGACGCCGGUGCCUUGAACCUGAAUAUCCGGCGGAAGGAAGUGUACUGAAAACUACAAAACCCAUAACUGUCUAUCGCGCCAAAAUUCCUGUCGUCCUGUCCUCGCCGUCAAUAUCGUUUCCCUGAAGAAGCGACACCGUUUCAGUGUCCAUCUUACCGAAUGACUCUUUCCGGUGCCCUCAUGUCCUCCGCCAUCAUCUCCUGGAAAUCCAGCGGGAGGCUUCAACAAACCAUACGGAGAUGCGUGGAGGUCAGUGGGAAGGGUCUCCACUCAGGCAAUGAAUCAACCGUGUGGUUAUCGCCGGAGUAUGCUCAGAAAGGGAGGUACUUUGAUUUCCACUCUAAAUAUUCCAUUCCUGCAUCCAUUGAUUUCGCCCAGCAAAAUUCGCCUCUUUGUACUACGCUGUCUGCUGAUCGAUUCAAAGUUCGAACCGUUGAGCACUUGCUUUCUGCUCUCGAGGCCACCGGCAUUGAUAAUUGCAAGAUUCAGAUUUUCAACAAUAAUGUCGACUCCGAAGAAGAUGAUUGCGAUUUUGAGAUUCCUAUAUUGGAUGGGUCGGCGAAACAAUGGGUUGAAGCUAUAGAAAAGGCUGGUUUGGUUGUGGCGGUAGAUGAGAGUGGCAAUAGCUGUGAAAGAAUGGCGCCUUAUUUGAAUGAGCCUGUGUAUGUGUGCAAGAAUGAUUCUUUUGUGGCUGCAAUCCCAUCGCCUAAUGUUCGCUUGACUUAUGGGAUUGAUUUUUCUAAGGUUUGUGCCAUUGGCUGCCAGUGGUUUUCUUUAGCUCCUUUGGAUGAUUCUUUCUACGUCAAACAAAUAGCUUCAUCAAGAACUUUUUGCAUAUACGAGGAGGUUUGUUUAACUUCUCUCUUGUAGUAGGUAAUUUUUAUUUUCUGUUCAAUAUCAUAGCUUGAUAUUGUUGAAUAAAGGACUAUCAACCUUUUAAGUGAUGAAAAGAAAAGGGUACUACUGGUUUUUCUUCUCAUCUUAUAUUAUCACUGUUCAGGCAUAUGAUAAUUGAAAGAUAUGUUUCUUACUGGAUUUUUGAAUUGCACAUAAAUGACAAGCAGACACCUCUCUUGUCUCUAAGUGUGGUUUAAGUUCUUAUCUUAAGUAUUAGACCCUAAAUCAACCUUUUAACUUCUCUAAAAGGUAGUAACUGUACCUCUAGGAAUUUCUUUGACUUUAACUGCUUGAAGCUAUAGGGGGGAAGUGAAGAAAAGAAUCAGCACAUAGUUAAACCUGGAUACAUUUAUAAAUUCAUCUAGAACUUAGUUCUUCACUUCUUCUCUAGAGAGUCUGCCUAUAGCCUGAGCUCUUUUCCUCUACAAGUGGGAUUCUUUUAUAAAUUCAUCUAGAACAUAGUUCUCCUUUAGACAGUCUGCCUAUAGCCAGAGCUCUUUUCAUGGUUCUCCUCUAGACAUUCUGCCAAUAGCCUGAGCUCUUUUCCCGAUGUAACUUGUAUUAAGUUUUUAAAAAAGUGACAUGUAUGCUCCCUUACAAAAUUUGUGACGUACAGUUUAUUGUUUCUAUCAUUUUUCACUUUAUUAAAAUUGAUUAUAAAAGCUAUUUUUGUAGCUGAUUAGUGAUAUAUUGUGGGUUACUUGUAUAUGCAAGAUUCUCUAAGGAAACACCUGUUUACACUUCAGGGAUAUAAAAAGUAAUUGUGCAUACACCACUAUAAGAUCACCCUAUUUCAUUGGUUCACAGUGAGUUAACAAAAUUUCUUCAAGUGCUUCAGGUGGUCUAUUAGUAUAAUGCCUAUGUCAAUGGAGGAUGGAAAAAUAUUUCUGGAGCAACUGGCUGUCGAUGGUUCCAGUGAAUUAGAAAAAGGUGGAGCAAAUGCGAAAUAUAGGACUCAUUAAAGGGGGAACAUUAGAGAAUGCUAUUGUUUGCAGGUGAUUAGCGAGAUGCUUUAUUCAUUUUUUAAGAAGAAGGUUCCAAGAUGCUAGAUAGCAUACGCUUAUUGUGCUGCUUUAGCUGUCAUGACUCCCAUGCCAAAGGAAAAUGAUGAAAGUCAAAAAUAUCUCUAAAAUAUUAGGAGUUGCUUGCAAUUCACUGGAGCACUUUUGUUAAAUUCUUUUACAUAGCAAGCAAUUCCCUUCUUUUUAAAGCAAAAUAUAUUAACUGGUUCUCUUGUUAAACUAAAGUAGACCAUUUGCUUUUGCUGGAAAAUGGAUGGAAUGACAUGAAACCUGGAUUCAAUUUAAUUUAUACACAUGGAAAAUGAGUGUAAGAUUGAAACCUAUGAAUUAGUUAGCUCUUCACUCUGUUUAUUAUGUAAUCCAUUGUCUUUGUCUGUAGUGCCAGUAAAGGCUGGUUGAAUCCACCACUUCGUUUCCCUGAUGAACCUUGUCGUCAUAAGAUCUUGGAUCUUAUUGGUGACCUUUCCCUGUUUGCACGGCUUGGUAAUCAAGGGCUUCCAGUGGCACACAUAAUUGCUUACAAGGUUUUCUCUAGACCUUUUUUCGUUUCUUGCAUGUUUUGACAGCUAUAGUCCAUGUCCAUUAAAUGUUUAUGGAUUAUUUUAGCAAUCAUGAAAAAUUUUCUAAUCUUCAGGCUUCUUUUACAUUUGUUUUUUAAUUUAUGUAUUCUUGUCUGGGAGGAUAUUGCAGUGAUAAUGCAGGAGUUCAGGUUUUAUAUUUUUAACCAAACAGUAGGAAAGUUCCGUUUCGCCUGUCUUUGUGGGUAAUAUAUGAAUAAUGAUAGGUUACCUUGGAUAUUCUAUAGUUACCAAAUUUUGCAAAACCAUCAACUAUGCUUAUUUACUAAAUCCAUUGACUUGUUCCUUUCUGAUGUUCCUGAUUUAAUAAAAUGGACAAAUAAAUUUAUGUGCAACUGUGCUUGAAGUUGAAAUUGACAUUUUCAUCUUGGUAAUAAAAAAUCAAAAUAUUCACACUUUUUAUUGUUGACAGCACAUCACUUGUUUAUUGAUUCUAGCUAUCAUUCCCUAAGCAGUGAUCUAGAUGUUCCAAGUAUUUCUGGAAAUUUUAUAGAAGCAAUUCCUUACACUUCAGCUUAUUUACACUUGAAUUUCAACAAAAGCUUGUGGAGUACUGUUGCUGUUGGUGUGUCCCGUCAAAAACUUGUCAUUCUGGCAGUUUGAAUUUCCCUUGCCUGAUAAAGUGUUGUCAUUUUCUGUCGUGUGAUUAUUGAAUGCAAUUGAUUUAUGCGUUUCCCAAUAUUGUGGCUGUAUCAUGUGAAAGCUCUGCAUUCAUUAUCUUUACUAAUGUUGUUGGCUAAUGAUUAUGUGACAAUUGCCAAGACUUUUGUCUAAGUUUCUAACUAAAUAUAAUGUAAUCCAGGGUGGCCAUGCACUGCAUGCUGAUUUUGUGUGUCGCCUUAAUGACCUAUUGAAGAAGUAACUUUGCUGUCCAUAAAAAUCGAAAAGUUGGGCAUCUCUUAUAUAUAGAAUUUUGACUGAUUGAGAACACAUCAACUUUGUUCUGAUGAUUUAAUUCACAUGGAGAACACACGAGUUCUGACGAGAAUUAUAGAGACGCAGCCAGUCUUGCAGCUUAUGGUAAGGGUCUUGUGUCGUUCAGUGAUCGGAAAAAAGAGGGAC